AAUACCAAAUACAGGAAUUGAACUAAACAGAAUAUACUGUAACCGCAAAAAUUAUUAUCCACAAUUACUCCAUUUCUUAAUCAAAGUAGAUUAUUAGCUAAAUCAUAAAUAGUAAAUGAUAAAUGAUCAUGUCAAUGCAAAUGCAAAAAGAACCAAUUAUUGAAUGAGAACCGAUUAUUGAAUGACGUAUCAAGAUAGAUAACUAAAGUAACAAAAUCAAAUCAAGCAUUAACUGCGUAGUUCGAAUAGAAACUAAAAACUAGAAACUGAUUACCAAAUGAAGUACCAGGAUAGAAUGAAUAAAAGCAACAAAAUCAAAUCAAAUAUACACUACGUAGCUAAAUUAAACACCACACUACUGUAUAGUUGAACAACAAGUAAGCAAGUCUGAUAUUUAAUAGCCAAACCAGUAUCAAUCAGUUAUAAAUAGACAUUUGAACAGACAAAACCAUUCAUUAUUACAGAAAGAACGAUAAAUCAAUAAUCAAAUCCAUUGACCUUAAUUAAUCAAAGUGAAAAUGAAUAAAUAGUGAAUAAAUACUGAACGCGAGCAAAACAGUUGAAGAAAUUAAGAAAAAGAAAUUAAAAAAAUUAAGAAAAUAAAGAAAAUGUAAAGUGUACAGUGUAAUGUGUACGCAAAUAUAACCAGCACAAUAUACUGUGAUAUAAAACAAAAUAAAAAUAGAAUAAGAUACAGUGAAGAUACAGUGAAGUGAAUUCCAACAAUGUAACCAUAGAUAUGCAUAGAUAAUAUAAACCAUAGAAUAGACAAAUUCAGAGAUGCGGGUAAGAAUUUACAGAGAUAUAACCUUAACCCUAAUGUGUCAAAACAAGGAGUGUCAACAGGAAACAAGACCAAUGUAAGAAGACUCGUUAAGAAUAAGAACAAGAACAAGAUUAAUUAAGAAAGCCUAAUUGUCAACUAAAUGAAAAGAAAGAAACAAACAAGAAACACCGCAAUAUAGCACCAUCAUGAAAAGGACUAUGCCAACACCUCAGAGGUGUCAUGAAUAAAUUAAAUUAAAUUAGAUUAGAGAAUAUCAAAGAAUAUUCAAAUAUCCAAGGUCGCAUAACAGGUGACAAGACAGAAUGCAGCAAUAAUACAGUAGUGACAAGCGUGGCACAAGUUUAAAUAUAGUAAGUAGAAGCAAAAGCAGACAGCAAUAAAGAAAUAUAAUAAAAGAAUGCGAGGAAGUGUAUCACAAGAGAAAAUAACAAGGAAGAAAGAAAACAAGAAGGAAAAAACAGGGCCAAUAUCGAAUAACAGUAAAAUCAAGAGUAACGCAUGUAAGGAACAUAACAAAAGAAGCAAUGUAUAAAUAAAUAAAUAAAUAAAACCAA
Osmia lignaria (orchard mason bee) is the source of this 1341-nucleotide non-coding RNA. The record is from RefSeq and is a predicted model, not a curated record. NCBI's taxonomy places the organism in Eukaryota, Metazoa, Arthropoda, Insecta, Hymenoptera, Megachilidae.